This 253-nucleotide ribosomal RNA is filed under the name uncultured bacterium. Its description in RNAcentral is "partial 16S ribosomal RNA". It matches the Rfam family "Bacterial small subunit ribosomal RNA", at positions 524 to 776 of the family's 1533-position model. The record is from RNAcentral.
CACGUAGGGCGCAAGCGUUGUCCGGAAUUAUUGGGCGUAAAGAGCUCGUAGGCGGUCUGUUACGUCUGCUGUGAAAACCCAGGGCUUAACCCUGGGCUUGCAGUGGAUACGGGCAGACUAGAGGCAGGUAGGGGAGAAUGGAAUUCCCGGUGUAGCGGUGAAAUGCGCAGAUAUCAGGAGGAACACCGAUGGCGAAGGCAGGUCUCUGGGCAUUAACUGACGCUGAGGAGCGAAAGCAUGGGGAGCGAACAGG